UGUCGGGGUAACGGCCCAACAAGCCAGUAAUCGGUACGGGUUGUGGGAGCAAGAGCCCGGAGUUGGAUUCUGAGACACGAAUCCAGGCCCUACGGGGCGCAGCAGGCGCGAAAACUUUACAAUGCGGGCAACCGUGAUAAGGGAACCUCGAGUGCCUGUAUAUGCAGGCUGUCUGGGUGUCUAAAACACACCUAAAGAAAGGGCCGGGCAAGACCGGUGCCAGCCGCCGCGGUAAUACCGGCGGCUCGAGUGGUGGCCACUUUUAUUGGGCUUAAAGCGUUCGUAGCUGGGUUAUUAAGUCCCUUGGGAAAUCCGACGGCUUAACCGUCGGGCGUCUAAGGGAUACUGGUAAUCUUGGAACCGGGAGAGGUGAGGGGUACUUCGGGGGUAGGAGUGAAAUCCUGUAAUCCUCGAGGGAUCACCUGUGGCGAAGGCGCCUCACCAGAACGGCUUCGACAGUGAGGGACGAAAGCUGGGGGAGCAAACCGGAUUAGAU
This 496-nucleotide ribosomal RNA is filed under the name uncultured microorganism. RNAcentral's name for it is "bacterial SSU rRNA". It matches the Rfam family "Archaeal small subunit ribosomal RNA", at positions 234 to 734 of the family's 1478-position model. The record is from RNAcentral.